Equus caballus (horse) is the source of this 2072-nucleotide long non-coding RNA. The record is from Ensembl. NCBI's taxonomy places the organism in Eukaryota, Metazoa, Chordata, Mammalia, Perissodactyla, Equidae.
CUCGGCGGCUGUCCGAAUGCCUCCUGGUACCCCGGCGGCGAGCGCCACCGGGAGCGCCCUCCGACCCCACAGUCUCAGAGUGUCCUGCGCUGCGGACCCAGGACGCCCACGCAGGGCCCCUUAAGGACAGGACAGUGGCUCUAAGGUGCCUCCUGCAGGGGUGAGUGUGGGCGUUUGGGCCCGCAGAUAGCCAGCUACCAGGAGAAUGCGAGGGAGAUCCUUACUCCACCUGACUUCCGGCUUAAUGCCCCAUUCCAUCCCCUUUCCCUGUUUCCAUUUUCUUCCAUAGCACUUCCUUUUUACAAAAUCAACUUGCGUGAAGUAUAGUUGACAUAGAAUUAAAUUUGCCCUUCUGAACAUGUAUAUUUGCCGUAUAUAACCUCCACCCCAAUCAACAUAUGGAACAUUUCCAUCAUUCAAAAAGUUCCCUCAGAUAGCGCUUACCUUAAACAAACUAUAACUUAAUUCCUUAUUCUAUCUAUUUAUUCUGUCUCUUCCAUGGCCCCUAGAAUGUAGGCUCCUGGAGGCAGAAUCUUUGUUUUGUACACUGAAGUUCUCAAGUUCACAGUGCCAGGGGAAUAGUAGCUAUUGGACACACAUUUGUUGAAUAAAUAAACUCCAACACAUGAGACAAUCAAACGGAAAAUGAAAUAUUAUCAAACCACUAGAAAAAAGUAAAAGCAAAUGCUGUAGGUUGAAUUGUGUCCCACCAAAGGACGUUGAGUCCUAACCCCCAGGGCUUGUGAAUGUGAGCUUCUGUGGAAACGGGGUCUUUGCAGAUGAUCAAGUUAAGAUGAGGUCGUUAGAGUGGACCCUAAUCCGCUACGCCAGCUGUCCUUAUAAAAUGGAGAGAUUUGGGCACAAACACACAAGGAGAACGCCAUGUGAAGACAGAAGCAGAGAUCAGAUUAGGGUGAUGCAUCUGCAAGCUGGGGAGAGAGGCAUGAGCAGAUGCUCCCUCGCAGCCCUCAGAAGGAGCCAGCCCUGUGGAAACCUUGAUCUCAGACUUGCAGCUUCCAGAACCGCAGACAAUUCCGCGUUGCAGCAAACCUUCAAAAAACCACCACUCAGUGAGUGUUGGUGUUGUAUCAAAGAAGAGUGUCCACAACUAUCCAAAAAGGCCGUUAAAAUUCUCCUUCCUUUUCCAAUUACUCAUCUGUGUGAGGCUGGAUCUUCUUCACAUACUUCACCCAAAACAAGACACCCCAGUGGAGUGAAGGCAGAGGCAGACAUGAGACCCAGCUGUCUUGUGUCAAAAGCAACAUGAAAGAGAUUUUCGCAGAUGGAGAACACUGCCACUCUUAUCACUGACUUGGUGGCUUGAAGAUACAGUCACACACUGAAUUUAUUAUUACCAUUGUACCUUCUCAGGUUAAAUUUCUAGUAUUGUAAAUAUUGAUAAGUAUAAUCUACAUGACUAAAGGCUCUUUGAGCUACUCAAUAAUUUCAGGAGGGUAAAGGAGUUUUGAGACCAAGAAAUUUGAGAACCAUUGGACUAAGGAAUAUAAAUAUUAAAACUCAGGACCCACUGGAUAACACUCUCUGAAUUCUCACAAUGACUCUAUGAGGUGGGUGCCCUUAUUAUCUCCAUUUACCAGAUGAAAUACUGAGGAACAGAGAGGGGAAGUAAUUGCCCAACUCACAGAGCUAGUAAAUGCCAGAGCCAGGAUUUGAACCCAGUUAUCUGACCCCAAGCUUGUGCACUUCCUUGGGGACAAUUUGGCAACAGGUUUAAAAAGCCUUUAAAAAUAUUAGCUUUCUGGGGCUGGCCCCGUGGCCGAGUGGUUAAGUUUGCGCGCUCCGCUGCAGGCGGCCCAGUGUUUCGUCGGUUCGAAUCCUGGGCGCGGACAUGGCACUGCUCAUCAGACCACGCUGAGGCGGCGUCCCACAUGCCACAACUAGAAGAACCCACAACGAAGAAUACACAACUAUGUACCGGGGGGCUUUGGGGAGAAAAAGGAAAAAAUAAAAUCUUAUUAAAAAUAUUAGCCUUCUUCGACCCCUUUUAGGAAUUUCAAGGAAGGGAAUAAUCAGCAAUGUCAGAGAGUUAUACAUAAAGAUAUUUAUAACAU